UUGACCUCGGAUCAGGUAGGGAUACCCGCUGAACUUAAGCAUAUCAAUAAGCGGAGGAAAAGAAACCAACAGGGAUUGCCUCAGUAACGGCGAGUGAAGCGGCAAGAGCUCAAAUUUGAAAGCUGGCCCCCUCGGGGUCCGCAUUGUAAUUUGCAGAGGAUGCUUCGGGAGUGGCCCCCAUCUAAGUGCUCUGGAACGGGCCGUCAUAGAGGGUGAGAAUCCCGUAUGGGAUGGGGUGUCCGCGACCAUGUGAAGCUCCUUCAACGAGUCGAGUUGUUUGGGAAUGCAGCUCUAAAUGGGUGGUAAAUUUCAUCUAAAGCUAAAUAUUGGCCGGAGACCGAUAGCGCACAAGUAGAGUGAUCGAAAGAUGAAAAGCACUUUGAAAAGAGAGUUAAAAAGCACGUGAAAUUGUUGAAAGGGAAGCGCUUGCGACCAGACUCGCCUACGGGGUUCAGCCGGUAUUCGUACCGGUGUACUUCCCCGUGGGCGGGCCAGCGUCGGUUUGGGCGGCCGGUCAAAGGCCCUCGGAAUGUAACGCCUCUCGGGGCGCCUUAUAGCCGAGGGUGCCAUGCGGCCAGCCCAGACCGAGGAACGCGCUUCGGCACGGACGCUGGCAUAAUGGUCGUAAGCGACC
This 634-nucleotide ribosomal RNA is filed under the name Penicillium melinii. RNAcentral's name for it is "eukaryotic LSU rRNA". It matches the Rfam family "Eukaryotic large subunit ribosomal RNA", at positions 1 to 649 of the family's 3401-position model. The record is from RNAcentral. Lineage: Eukaryota; Fungi; Ascomycota; Eurotiomycetes; Eurotiales; Aspergillaceae.